RNAcentral lists this ribosomal RNA (408 nucleotides) under uncultured bacterium. Its description in RNAcentral is "partial 16S ribosomal RNA". It matches the Rfam family "Bacterial small subunit ribosomal RNA", at positions 28 to 526 of the family's 1533-position model. The record is from RNAcentral.
GACGAACGCUGGCGGCGGGCUUAACACAUGCAAGUCGAACGAAGUGGCGAACGGGUAAGUAAUACGUGGGUAACCGGCCCUCCUUUUUGGGAUAAGCCUUGGAAACGGGGUCUAAUACCCAAUCAAGGGGGAGGGGCUCGCGGCCUUUCAGCUGGUUGGGGGGGUUAUGGCCUACCAAGGCGGUGACGGGUAGCCGGCCUGAGAGGGUGACCGGGCACAGUGGGACGGAGAUACGGCCCAGACUCCGAAGGGGUGGAGCAGUGGGGGAUAUGGGACAAUGGGCGAAAGCCUGAUGCAGCGACGCCGCGUGGGGGAUGAAGGCUUUCGGGUUGUAAACCUCUUUCGCUAGCGAACGGGUAGGUGGAGAAGAAGCGCCGGCUAACUACGUGCCAGCAGCCGCGGUAAUUC